GAUGGCCUCAGACUACUUAAUUUUUAUCUCUACAUCUUAGUGAUGCCAAUACUGGGAGAUAAGGAAUGCUUGAAGCCCAAGUCUUUGCUAUGUCCUCCAUGCCAUGACUCAGGUAGGGUAUCCAUCUACCUGCUGCAGCUGCUGUGACAUGACGGUGCCAUUAGAAAGUCAUUCUGUGGUGGCACUUCCCAGGAGUAUCUACAGUAUGUGGGACCUCUGAGCCUUCCAAGGCAUCAGAGGAGCACCCUUGAUAAUUCCUGAUUUAAAUGCUAAUGUGAGUCCUGAAAGGAAGGCUGCCUGCUGACAAAGGAACCUAACAAGGAACCUAACAUGGACUCCAGAGUAUCACAGAUCCCAGGAGCAACCCACCUGCUGCUCACGGUGAGAUGGAGGGACUGGGCUUGUCUGAACCUCUUUGUUUUGGAGGAGCACAUUAAAUAGCAACAGUUAAGCAGUCUU
Molecule: long non-coding RNA, 459 nt
Organism: Mus musculus (house mouse)
Lineage: Eukaryota; Metazoa; Chordata; Mammalia; Rodentia; Muridae
Product: predicted gene, 34348
Exons: 3
Source: RefSeq, a predicted model, not a curated record